Gossypium arboreum is the source of this 142-nucleotide non-coding RNA. NCBI's taxonomy places the organism in Eukaryota, Viridiplantae, Streptophyta, Magnoliopsida, Malvales, Malvaceae. The record is from Rfam.
AAUAGUUUUAUGCCACGUCAGUAUUCUUAUCCUGAAUUUCAGGAUUUUAUCCUGAAAAAAAUUAAAUCCAAAUUAAAAUACUGAAAUUUAGGAUAAACUCCUAAAAUUCAGGAUAAGAAUAUUGAUGUGGCAUAAAACUAUU